CCUACGGGAGGCAGCAGUGGGGAAUCUUGCGCAAUGGGCGAAAGCCUGACGCAGCAACGCCGCGUGCGGGAAGAAGGCUCUCGGGUUGUAAACCGCUUUCAGCAGGAACGAAAAUGACGGUACUUGCAGAAGAAGGUGCGGCCAACUACGUGCCAGCAGCCGCGGUGACACGUAGGCACCAAGCGUUGUCCGGAUUUAUUGGGCGUAAAGAGCUCGUAGGCGGUUCGGUAAGUCAGGUGUGAAAACUUUGGGCUCAACCCAAAGCCUGCAUCUGAUACUGCUGUGACUAGAGUUCGGUAGGGGAGCGGGGAAUUCCUAGUGUAGCGGUGAAAUGCGCAGAUAUUAGGAGGAACACCGGUGGCGAAGGCGCCGCUCUGGGCCGAAACUGACGCUGAGGAGCGAAAGCGUGGGUAGCAAACAGGAUUAGAUACCCUGGUAGUCCACGCCGUAAACGUUGGGCACUAGGUGUGGGUCUCAACCAACGAGAUCCGCGCCGUCGCUAACGCAUUAAGUGCCCGCCUGGGGNGUACGGCCGCGAGUAAACGUACAANAGAGUGNGGNGUGAGAGUGCGAGCGACGACGAGGGAGAGG
RNAcentral lists this ribosomal RNA (591 nucleotides) under uncultured bacterium. RNAcentral's name for it is "bacterial SSU rRNA". The stretch from base 1 to 520 matches the Rfam family "Bacterial small subunit ribosomal RNA", at positions 338 to 873 of the family's 1533-position model. The record is from RNAcentral.